Molecule: small nucleolar RNA, 68 nt
Filed under: Mesitornis unicolor (brown roatelo)
Lineage: Eukaryota; Metazoa; Chordata; Aves; Mesitornithiformes; Mesitornithidae
Description: Small nucleolar RNA SNORD63
Rfam family: Small nucleolar RNA SNORD63
About the family: snoRNA U63 is found in both humans and mice.
Source: Rfam by way of RNAcentral
GUGCCAUGAUGUAACUGUCAACACAUCAUUCUGAAGAAUUGUGUGGAGAUCACCUGUAACUGAGCACU